Molecule: ribosomal RNA, 468 nt
Filed under: uncultured bacterium
Lineage: Bacteria
Description: partial 16S ribosomal RNA
Rfam family: Bacterial small subunit ribosomal RNA
Source: RNAcentral
GACGAACGCUGGCGGCGUGCUUAACACAUGCAAGUCGAACGGAAAGGCCCUGCUUUUGUGGGGUGCUCGAGUGGCGAACGGGUGAGUAACACGUGAGUAACCUGCCCUUGACUUUGGGAUAACUUCAGGAAACUGGGGCUAAUACCGGAUAGGAGCUCCUGCUGCAUGGUGGGGGUUGGAAAGUUUCGGCGGUUGGGGAUGGACUCGCGGCUUAUCAGCUUGUUGGUGGGGUAGUGGCUUACCGAGGCUUUGACGGGUAGCCGGCCUGAGAGGGUGACCGGCCACAUUGGGACUGAGCUACGGCCCAGACUCCUACGGGAGGCAGCAGUGGGGAAUAUUGCACAAUGGGCGGAAGCCUGAUGCAGCAACGCCGCGUGCGGGAUGACGGCCUUCGGGUUGUGAACCGCUUUCGCCUGUGACGAAGCGUGAGUGACGGUAAUGGGUAAAGAAGCCCCGGCUAACUACGUG